This is a long non-coding RNA of Glossina fuscipes, 78 nucleotides long. RefSeq lists it as uncharacterized. NCBI's taxonomy places the organism in Eukaryota, Metazoa, Arthropoda, Insecta, Diptera, Glossinidae. The record is from RefSeq and is a predicted model, not a curated record. The transcript has 3 exons.
CAAUUUUAAAGCAAUAACAUUUUUAUGAAAUAACGAAAGUAACGAUGAUGUACUCUAUGUGUAGAAUGUUGUUUGUUG